GGAAAAAGAAAACCAUUUUUAAAAAUGAAGAAAGCUUACAGGAAUUAUGAGACAGCAUCAACAGACCAAAAGUUUGAGUCACUGGCAUUUUGGAAAUCUGCAGCUUCAGGGUGAUAAUAAUUUCAGUUGGAGCCUCACUGGUAACCUUGCUCAGCCACACGACUGGAAUGUAAGAGGCUGGGGCAUUUUGGACAGCACAGAUGUUAAACGUGAACACUACCUUCUCAGUAGCACAAAUCUGACUACAUCUUUAAGUCUCCAAGAGGAACAUGAGGACAUGAGCAAUAGAGGAAACCUGGAGGAAGAGGGUGUGGCAUGUUGAAAUUUAAAAAGAAGCAAUGUGUAUUUGCAAGUCAAACCAAUAUAAUAAAAC
This 373-nucleotide long non-coding RNA is filed under the name Homo sapiens (human). Its description in RNAcentral is "non-protein coding lnc-SNCA-2:3". The record is from RNAcentral. Lineage: Eukaryota; Metazoa; Chordata; Mammalia; Primates; Hominidae.